This 27-nucleotide small RNA is filed under the name Bombyx mori (domestic silkworm). RNAcentral's name for it is "ovarian small RNA-17147". The record is from RNAcentral. Lineage: Eukaryota; Metazoa; Arthropoda; Insecta; Lepidoptera; Bombycidae.
GCUUCCUUAAUUCGCCGUGUGCGGGUC